CUCCAGAUAUAAAUAAUACAUGUGAAGAAUUCUGUAUUUUCCCACAAGAUGGCACACUUUUCUCAUGAUAGCUGUGUGGUGCAGACUAACACUGGUAGCUAUGUACACACACAUAAGGACACUUUCUGUACAUUACAAAUGCUGUAACAUUCAUCUCCAGGGAUUUUGCAGCUGUGGUUAAUUGAACUGGCUUUAUAGUGCGGACCAGAAAUGCUGCUCAGUGCCAGUGCAUGAAAUAAACUAGGGAUCACAGAAAGGGAGACAUCACUCCCCGUUACUUGAAUACGGCGAAGAAAGAAAUAUACCAUGAAGACGAUGAGAUGGCGAGAAACACUGAC
Long non-coding RNA from Alligator mississippiensis (American alligator), 338 nucleotides. RefSeq lists it as uncharacterized. The transcript has 3 exons. The record is from RefSeq and is a predicted model, not a curated record. NCBI's taxonomy places the organism in Eukaryota, Metazoa, Chordata, Crocodylia, Alligatoridae.